GACGGAGGGGGCUAGCGUUGUUCGGAAUGACUGGGCGUAAAGGGCGCGUAGGCGGUUUUUUAAGUGAGGCGUGAAAGCCCUGGGCUUAACCCAGGAGGUGCGUUUCGGACUGGAAGACUUGAGUGCGAGAGAGGAAAGUGGAAUUUCUAGUGUAGAGGUGAAAUUCGUAGAUAUUAGAAAGAACACCCGUGGCGAAGGCGGCUUUCUGGCUCGCAACUGACGCUGAGGCGCGAAAGCGUGGGGAGCAAACAGG
RNAcentral lists this ribosomal RNA (253 nucleotides) under uncultured bacterium. RNAcentral's name for it is "partial 16S ribosomal RNA". It matches the Rfam family "Bacterial small subunit ribosomal RNA", at positions 524 to 776 of the family's 1533-position model. The record is from RNAcentral.